CGCAUCUGUGCAUGCAGCAUAUCAAUAAGCGGAGGAAAAGAAACUAACAAGGAUUCCCUUAGUAACGGCGAGUGAAGCGGGAAGAGCUCAAAUUUGAAAUCUUCAAGGUUUUACCUUGACGAAUUGUAGUUUAAAGAAGUGUUUUCUGUUGAGGUUUUGGUAAAAGUUCUUUGGAAUAGGACAUCAUAGAGGGUGAGAAUCCCGUAUUUGACCAUUACUUUCAACUUUGUGAUACACUUUCAAAGAGUCGGAUUGUUUGGGAAUGCAGUCCGAAAUGGGUGGUAAAUUUCAUCUAAAGCUAAAUAUUGGCGAGAGACCGAUAGCGAACAAGUACCGUGAGGGAAAGAUGAAAAGAACUUUGAAAAGAGAGUUAAACAGUACGUGAAAUUGUCAAAAGGGAAGCGCUUGACACCAGUGUUGUUUUCUCGAAAAUCAAUUAAAAAGAGUUUAGAUUUUGUUGUGUAUUGACCUUAACAGCUUGCAUUUCAAUUUUCUUGCUUUUUUUAAUGCACUUUUCGUUUAACAAGUCAACAUCAGUUUCUUUUGUUGUAAAAAGGUCAUUGGAAGGUGGCUUUCCUUUCGGAGAAAGUGUUUAUAGCCUUUGACUCCUGCAAUCGGAGAGACUGAGGUCUGCAGCGUAGAUCCUUCGGGGUUAGAUACAUUUGUGCUAAGUUAUAGCUUUUUAUAGACAACUUGUUGACUAUGAUUAGUCUUGUAGCUUACUCGCUUAUGCUAUUUUACCUACGCUUAGGAUGUUGAUGUGAUACUGCGAGCA
This 775-nucleotide ribosomal RNA is filed under the name uncultured Neocallimastigales. RNAcentral's name for it is "partial large subunit ribosomal RNA". It matches the Rfam family "Eukaryotic large subunit ribosomal RNA", at positions 26 to 646 of the family's 3401-position model. The record is from RNAcentral. Lineage: Eukaryota; Fungi; Neocallimastigomycota; Neocallimastigomycetes; Neocallimastigales.